This 85-nucleotide transfer RNA is filed under the name Blautia schinkii. RNAcentral's name for it is "tRNA-OTHER". It matches the Rfam family "tRNA". From Rfam's summary of the family: Transfer RNA (tRNA) molecules are approximately 80 nucleotides in length. Their secondary structure includes four short double-helical elements and three loops (D, anti-codon, and T loops). RNAcentral also lists the same sequence under 1 other name. Lineage: Bacteria; Bacillati; Bacillota; Clostridia; Lachnospirales; Lachnospiraceae. The record is from RNAcentral.
GGAACGGUAUUUUAAGCGGCAGAAUGGCGAUAUAUCGGAAAACAACAACGACAGCCGAGUCUGGGUUCGAAUCCCAGCUGUUCCA